UCCUGGUUAACCCAGGCAGUCUCAUUAGAGUGCCCAACUUAAUGCUGGCAACUAACAAUAGGGGUUGCGCUCGUUGCGAGACUUAACCCAACAUUUCACAACACGAGCUGACGACAGCCAUGCAGCACCUCUCACUACAUUCUCCGAAGAGCACCCCUGUAUCUCUACAAGGUUCGUAGGAGUUCAAGCCCAGGUAAGGUUCUGCGCGUUGCUUCGAAUUAAACCACAUAAUCCACCGCUUGUGCGGGCCCCCGUCAAUUCCUUUGAGUUUUAAUCUUGCGACCGUACUUCCCAGGCGGUUCACUUAAUGCGUUAGCUGCGUCACUGAGGGAGUCAAUACCCCCAAUAACUAGUGAACAUCGUUUACGGCGUGGACUAC
RNAcentral lists this unclassified non-coding RNA (379 nucleotides) under uncultured Bacteriovoracaceae bacterium. Its description in RNAcentral is "contains 16S-23S intergenic spacer region". The record is from RNAcentral. Lineage: Bacteria; Pseudomonadati; Bdellovibrionota; Bacteriovoracia; Bacteriovoracales; Bacteriovoracaceae.